GGAAGGGGGACACGUGACCGCCCGGCUGGGCAGCCCGGCGCGCCCCACCCGCUAUGGGCACCCCAUCUUCCAUCCUGGAAAAGCCGGGGAACACAGGGAAGGCGGGGGAGCACGCAGGGUGCAACCAGCCCCUUUAGCUGCAGUGCUGGGUGAUCACCGCAGCUGAACCUGGGAAGAAGGCUCUCUCACUCUACCAGCCGGCCUUCACUGUCCUCCGCCCUGCCCUUGGCAGUAGAACCCUCCCUUCUCGGCUGCAGCUCACACACACACACACACACACACACACACACACACACACACACACACACACACACACACACACACACACACACACACAGAGGCACUGACACUCUGGGUAGACCACCGUCACUUCAUAGUUAAGAGUGACCGCUCCCCUCCCUGCCUCUCCUUUCUGAGCACCGGCUUAGGGUCCAGGAGAGCAGCUUAAGGCGAUGCAUUGCAGACACGGCUCAGCUCAAAGGCUAGAAAGCCCCCCCGCCGCCGCCGCCGCCACGCACGACUGGACCACGCCCGGGGAUGCCCGAUAACUCUCAGGGAGUUUUGUACUGGAUUUGGUCGUGGAUGCGGUUUCCGGCCAAGGUGGCCACUGCAGAGUCCAAGGUACAGAAGGAGAAGAAGGCGGGACUCUGGCCCUUGGUCCUUUUGCGCUCCACCUUCACUCCCAGCCUCCAUCCGCGAUGCUACACCCACCUUGACCCAGAUGGCCUUUCCCUAAUCCUUUCUUGAUGUGAUCACGCCCUGUUGAGAAAGCGCCCAACAGCCCGCAUGGAGGGAGUGACAUUGAACCCGACAGGUCGCUGCAGAGCGUUUGCCUUUAACGUCCUCCUACGGCUUGGUCCGAGGUCUGUGGAGCUGUGUCUUUGGAGUGACCACACCUUGUGUGGGCUGGGAGAAGCUGCUUUAUGGUGGCGGGUGGGGCAGGUUAAUAAAGUGCAGAAUUUGUCCUGGUUUUUACUCUAAAAGGCAGCCGGUAGUAUCGACAGGUUAAUCUUGGUAAGCUGAGAAGAGGGCGUGGUGGAAGGGGACAAAUGGCAGCUUGGGGGUCCCGGGAUAAUAUGGAUUUCAGAGGCUUCCUGUCUGCGGGCAUGCCCUAGAGCUGCGUUAAGUGUCACUAUUCCCUUCCAUAGUGCAGACACCAGCAAGAGUCUGGGCCUGCCAUUUCCCCGGUUCAUUCUUAGAGCGGAACAGGCCUGCCAGGAUCAUAGGUGGCAGGUAUCCUUGCAGGCACCUUACUGCCCCUGUCGUCUCCACCGCACCCACUGCAGAGUUGCUGCGACAGUGGGACCGCUACCUUCUGCCCCCUCCUUGUUGGCUGUUCACCUCUCGCCCCGCCCACCACCUUCCUUCCCCAGCGCGUUCCGCUGCACGCCCAACAGGCACGCGUGGAUGCCUAGGGCUGGGAGCAGCCUUUGCAGAGCGCCUACGACGGCGAUCCGCAGCCGGGUCGCGGUUGCCCCAGCUCCGGGUGCACCCACGUGGAAAACGCCGGCUACCGCAGGGUCCCGGGCUCAGCUGCGGCCAGAGUUCCCGCGAAACCCCAAGGUGUUCCGCAGGUCAAUGUCCAUCUGUCUCCGCCCCACCACCCCUAGUCAGGAUGUGAAGGGAAGGUUUGGAAGCUCCAGUGUCCCCAGCUAUCCCUGGACAAAGCCUCCCGCUUUCCGGCUUCCCACUCCGGAAAUUCAAGGAGGCCGGGGCCGCGGGGAAGGGACACGCGUGGAGAGCGCCUUGAGGCGUCUGGCCAGGAUGCGGUGCCGGCCGUGUCCCAGCCUUGCCUAGCGCGGUUGCUCCCGCGCCUGCAUCCGCGCCGAGGUGCUGCAGAGCGCAGG
Peromyscus maniculatus bairdii (prairie deer mouse) is the source of this 1847-nucleotide non-coding RNA. The record is from RefSeq and is a predicted model, not a curated record. NCBI's taxonomy places the organism in Eukaryota, Metazoa, Chordata, Mammalia, Rodentia, Cricetidae.